Molecule: ribosomal RNA, 253 nt
Filed under: uncultured bacterium
Lineage: Bacteria
Description: partial 16S ribosomal RNA
Rfam family: Bacterial small subunit ribosomal RNA
Source: RNAcentral
UACGAAGGGGGCUAGCGUUGCUCGGAAUGACUGGGCGUAAAGGGCGCGUAGGCGGACGGCUUUGUCGGGCGUGAAAUCCCAGGGCUCAACCCUGGAACUGCCUUUGAUACUGUCGAUCUGGAGUAUGGAAGAGGUGAGUGGAAUUCCGAGUGUAGAGGUGAAAUUCGUAGAUAUUCGGAGGAACACCAGUGGCGAAGGCGGCUCACUGGUCCAUUACUGACGCUGAGGUGCGAAAGCGUGGGGAGCAAACAGG